CAUCAUGGGUCAAAAAAAAUCAUUUGGCUUUUUAGUUAAAAUUGAGGUUAAAGCUUAAAUGUCAUAUUCUAGUGGUUCUUGUUGUUUUUCCCAGUGAUGGUUAAAAAGAUUUAUAGCAUGAAAAACAAAGUAUCAGCUAGAAAGCCCUUUUUCAAAAAAAAAGAAAAAAAAAACAAAGCAUCAGUUUCAAAACCGACUAAGUUGAAAAACACUUUAUAGCACUGAAAACAAAGCAUCAGUUACAAAACCGACUAUGUGAAUCAUUAGGCUCCCUUUCUGAAUGGUGUAAAAAACAAAUGUUGGAAGAAGUGCUGUGGACCCUGCAGAAAGAGAAGGACACUGUCAUAAAGGAAACUACUUAAAGAUUACCCACUUUCGAGGCUUUUGUAAAUUUGAUUCUCAUAUCUUAGAUAUGUACCUGCACCUUGUAAGAUUCGUAUGCUCAAAUUGAUUAUAACUGUAGUAAAAAAAGCGUCAAUUUUUAUUUUUAAACACAUGUGAAGCAAGUGUUCCAUGCAAAUGAGCAUAUAUUUUUAACUUUUACUAGGUGGGUACACGCGGGACUUAUUUUCAAUCAGUAUUCUAAAAUGUGCUAGAUGUUCGUUUGGCGGUAGAUAAGUAUUUAGCGACUAACCAUAUAUGCGGACGCCUAACAGAGCUAGACGGAUAUAUGAUUUUACAUGAAAUAUAAGUAUACACUAAUAUUUACUAAUUUUUUUUAAAAGAACAUAAAUAUACUUCAAAUAUAAUUUUAUGUUUAAAAAUAUAGUUUAACAUAUAUUAAUAGUUUAAAAUUGUAAAAACUCAAACAUGUUUAAAUAUAUACAUUUAAUAAAUUUAAAAUUACUUUGCAGACAAUUAAUCUAAUAUAUAUAAUAUGUAACAAUUAAUAUUAUUAAUAAUAGGAAUCUCAACUAAUGUUUAAAAGUUGUGAUUUCAUUAAAAAAAUUGAAAUGUAUUAAUUUUUAAUAUUUUGUGUCUUUUCUCAAAAACUGAAAGAGUUAUGUCUUUUUAUUAUAAAAAUAAAAUAGUUUUAAAAGUAGUUAAAAUAUCUCAAUAAUUUUCUUUCCACAAUUGUUAGUUUUAAGAGUUGUGUCUUCUCAUCAUAAAAGAUAAUUUUUAAUUGUUAAAAUAUCUCAAUAAGUGUUUUUCUAUAAUUAUAUUUCUUUUUAUUAUUCAAUAGAGUAUAUUUUCCAUGAUAUUUCUAUUUAAAAUAUAUUGUAUAGAUACUAACUUAAAAUAAAUAUCUCAAAUCCAAAAUUCGUGACUUUUUGUAUAAAUCUUUUAAAAUAUAUAAAUAGUCCAUGUCCAUAAGUUUUUCGCUGUAAAUAUUUCACAAAUUUAUUAAAAUGAUGAAAAAAUAUGUGCAAUUACCUGCUUAUAGAACUAGCAGAAGAUAUUAUGUGCAAUAUUUUAGUAAAUGUUUUCCACAAUUCAAGUAAAAAGUUUGGAACUGUAAGUCAACAAAUAGUAAUAAAUAUUUCAAAGUCAUUCAAUUGUAAAUAUUUACUUUAAAUAAGGCUGAAUAAGUAUACCAUGUCAAAUACAACAAUCAGAAUAACCGAAAAGUUAGCAAAUUCUUUGUAAUUCGUGUAUUAGAUUAAAAAAUAAAAAUCAAUUUAAAAUUUUUUUUUGAAUAGUUACAAACACAUUUAAUAUUUAUUUUACAUAAUUUUAUAAAAAUAAAUAAAUUUCUAUUUAUUGUAUUCACAUGGUAGUUGAAUAUAUCAAAUGUAUUAACAAAUGCUUUUAUUAUUAAAAAACAUUUUUUAACUAAAGAAAUAAAACAUAAAAAUAUAAAAUAAUGUUUCUUCUAUAUUAAAUUUUAGUUCUCUGUAUUUUUUUUAAUUUUCUCAUUUAUAUUAUUUCUAUUAAUAAUAGGUAAUACUAAUAAUUUACUUAAAAUGUCCAAGUGUGUGUUUUUUUUAUAAACUGCAUAAUUUUUAAUGAUGUUACUUUUGUCAUGUGGUUAUAUAUUUCUAUUUAUUAUAUUUUAAAAGAAUUUAAAGUCAAAAUAUGUGUCUUUUUUAUUAAAAAAUAUAAUUUAUUGAAAAUUAUGACUUAUACUCACGAACCAACACUAUUUUAUAUUUUCAAAUAUAAAUUGACAUUUUCCAUCAAUAUUUUUUAGUACUAAAUAUAACAGUGUUUUUCCUAAAUAUCUCCAUCUUAAAAUUUGAAUUUAUGAAAUAAUAUGUCGUCAUAAAUCUAACUCCACAAUUUAUUAUGCGUUCUUCUUAUUUUUAAAAUAUGUAUACUGAUUUAUGUUAUGUAACUCUAGUCUUUUGAAGUGGAUUAUUUUAUAUAUUUUCAGCGUUGGUCCGAUUUUGUUUUUCUGAACGUUGGAGUUGAUGUUCAGACCACCAAGAAUCUGAUGGAUUUGAUAUGAUGUGAGACUGUCCACACUCACAUUCUGUUGAUUGUUUGUGGGAUUACUCUGAGGUUCAGUAAUAACCAUAGAAGCAACAUUCUCUUUCUUCGAAUUUUAAGAAUCAUUCUUGUUAGCAGAGUUGGAAUUGUUGUCUGACUGGUAUUGCGGCUUAUAACCAUUACCAUGAGGUUGGAUAUCCAUGUAGUUUGUAGCAUCUGUUGUCAGUGUGACAAGCAAUGCCGCAGUGAGAGUAGAUAGGACGAUUCUUCUGCUUAUUAUAAACACCAUAAUCUGCUGCAAUAACCGAGUCAGAUUGUUGAUUAACUUGUGAUGCUUGAAAUGCAACAGCACUCGUAGCCUGAUCAUGCUUCAUAGACCAUUGUCUCUUUUCCUGAGAAACCAAAUUGAAAACCUUGGUGACAGAAGGUUGCGGCUCCAUCAUUAAGAUUUGACCUCGAGUUGUUGUAUAAGUAUAACUAAGCCUCAUUAAGAACUUUAACACUCGAUAUUGUUCAUCACCUUCCAUCAAUCUUUUUUAACUCUCACAAUUCUCACGACCACAACAACAUGUAUAAGGAGUUUCAUGAUUCUUAAGCUCUUCCCAAAGUUGCUUGAGCUUAGUGUAAUACUCAUUAACAUUUUGUGAACCUUGAGUCCCCGCAAAUCUUUGUUGUUUGAAGUAUGCAGUCCUCGGUCCAUUACUCUGCUUGAAUUGAAUUGAUCAUGAAUGUCUAACCACAUUUGUCUUGCUGUACCAAGAUACAUGAUGCUCUUCGCAAUAGAUUUGUCAACAUCAUUGACAAUCCAAGUAGAUACUAAGAUAUUGGGAAAAAAAAACCAAAAUGCAUAAUCAAGAUGAGAUUUCUCUAGCACAGGAAAGGUUCCAUCAAUGGAAACUACUUUGUUCCUAGCUCCUAACGUCAUCAUCAUAGAUCUACGCCGAGUAUUGAAGUUCCCUAAGCUAGUAAGUUUUUCCAGAGGCAAGAGCAAUACCAGCGUGAUCUGGUACUGUGAACGUAUAAGGGACUUGGGUUCGGAUCUUGAAGAAAGGCCGUCGCAUCGGAUCUUCCUUGCAGAAUAGGUGUCGAUGCUGACGAUGGAGUCGGCGUAACUGCAUUCGCAUACGAGAUCGGCAUAUUGAAGACGAGAAGAAGAUGCAAUCGAAAAACCGCGAUUCGAACCGAAUUUGGGAGAUCGAAAGCUUGAAACGAUAAAUAUUGAUGACAAUGAGCUUAAAUCUGCACUCUGAUUAAACAGAAGAAAGCUGAAGAUACGAGCAAAAACUCUUAUACCAUAUUAGAAUUAGAGAAACCGAGCUUGAGCUCAGAGGUUGAAGACAAAGUUUGUUACAGAUUUUAUUGAUCUCAUCAUAACAAACAUCAUUUACAUUUGAGAGCUAUUUAUAGUAAUGUCUAGUAAACAGGUUUAUAAUCCAAUAAAUAUGUUACCACAAAAACAUUACUCCCUCCGUUCCGUUUUUUAUAUAUGACGCUUUAAGAUUGUGCACAUAGAUUAAGAAACAUUUAAUUUCUAAACAAAAAACAUCAUUAAUUGUUUACCUAACCAUAAUUUAACCAAUAAUAAAAUAGAAACUAUAAUAUCAUUGGUCAUCUAGCAUUAAUUAGUAAUAAAUUUUACAUAGAAAAUUGAAAACGUCAAAUAAUUUGGAACAAAAAAAUUCUUCUAAAACGUCAUAUAUAAAAAAACAGAGGGAGUAUUACACAUUGCAUUGAUGGAAACAAAUUAAUCUGAAAAUCUAAAAGUCAAUCAUUGGAUAAAACAAAAAUGUUUUUACUAGUCAUGUGUUUCUAGAAAUGAAAUAGUUAUGUAGCAGAUAAUAUAAAGAUAAAAAAAACAGCAUAUAUAGUUUUUUUUUUUAACGCUGGACUUUUUAUUCCAAUUGCAAACACGUAUCAAGUAACUCCCCAAACAGGUAAGAGGAGCACUUGUAGGGAAACGUGAAGAUAACACAACACAUGAAUAAUAAAACAAAAUAAAAUAGGCAAACAGCAUAUAUAGUUUAUUUGUUUAAAAAAAAAAAUCAUCAUAGAAGUUUCCAUCUUUGUUAAUCACGGAUAUCCCGGGGUUUACAAGAAAAAAAGAGAGAGAAUAUAAACCAAUAGAAUAAUUGCCAGAGAAGAAGGGAGAAGGAGGAAGCAAAAGGGAAGUGGCGUGUUCAUCUCUCCAAUACUCUGCCGCCACUUCUUGUUCUCCUCCUCAAAUCUCAGUCUUCUAUAUAAACAUAGAGCCAUAGCCAUAGAUUCAUAGCUAAAUCUCAGCCUCCUUUGGCUCAAUCCAACGACCUAAUCAUAGAUUCUUGGAUGGUGACGAAGGGAAUGCGUGUCGGGAAAUACGAGCUUGGGAGGACUCUUGGAGAAGGCAACUCUGCCAAAGUCAAACUCGCUACAGAUACGGUUUCAGGCCAAUCAUUCGCCGUCAAAAUCAUCGACAAAUCUAGUAUCAAACGCCUUAACGUCUCUUUUCAGAUUAAGAGAGAGAUCCGGACACUGAAAGUGUUAAAGCAUCCAAAUAUUGUCAGAUUACAUGAGGUUUUGGCUAGCAAAACCAAGAUUUACAUGGUCCUUGAAUGUGUCACUGGAGGAGACUUAUUUGACAGAGUUGUCUCCAGAGGAAAGCUUUCGGAAACAGAAGGACGAACAUUGUUUCAGCAGUUGAUUGAUGGAGUCAGCUAUUGUCAUAACAAGGGAGUUUUCCACAGAGACCUCAAGCUAGAGAAUGUUCUUCUUGAUGCAAAGGGAGACAUUAAGAUCACUGAUUUUGGCCUUAGUGCUCUACCUCAGCAUUUUAGGGAAGAUGGGUUGCUACAUACAACCUGUGGAAGUCCAAACUAUGUCGCACCUGAGGUCCUAGCCAACAAGGGCUAUGAUGGUGCAGCAUCAGAUAUAUGGUCAUGUGGAGUCAUCUUGUAUGUUAUCCUUACGGGAUGUCUCCCUUUUGAUGAUGCAAACCUGGCUGUUCUUUGCCGUAAUAUAUUCAAAGGGGACCCUCCAAUACCUAGAUGGCUAUCACCGGGUGCUAAAACCAUGAUUAAGAGAAUGCUUGAUCCAAAUCCAAUUACGAGGAUAACAAUCGCAGGUAUUAAGGCCAAUGAUUGGUUCAAUCAUGACUACACUCCUUCCAGUAGCGACGAUGAAAAUGAUGCAUGUUCAUUCCAAGAAGAUGUAUCUGAAGAGGAGAAGAGCCCUGAUUUUCCAACCGUCAUCAACGCCUUUGAGUUGAUCGGAAUGUCAUCAUUUCUCGACCUCUCCGGUUUGUUUGAGACAGAGAAAGUAUUAGACAGGCAGAUAAGAUUCACAUCAAAUAGGUUCGCCAUAGAUGUGCUGGAGAAGAUCAAAACAACCCUUAUGGAGAUGGGUUUCUCCGUGCAGAAGAAACACACAAUGUUAAAAGCAAUCCAACAAGAGAGUAGUCGAAAAGGGCAAAGCGGGUUGUCAUUAACGGCAGAGGUUUUCGAGAUCAUCCCGUUGCUUAAUGUGGUCGAACUAAGAAAGACACAUGGUGAUUCAUUAUUAUAUAAACAGUUGUGCGACAGAUUAUCAAACGAAUUAAGCACAUCAUCUCAUGUUCAAAAGCUUUAAAAGGUAGCCAGGAGCAGGAAACAAAUGUGAAACUAUUCCAAAUUUGCAUCCGGAAUGAUAGAGGAUUUAUGUAUAUAAAUUAUUUAAAAAAUGUAUAUAAAUUAUAUACUAUCUUGUGUAAAAUUGGUACAUUAGCCAAAGCCAUAAAGUAUAUUCUUUUGUAAACAUUACAUUGUCUCCGAAUCUGUUCAUUAGCAAGUAAUAGAUUGCAUCCGAUGCUUGAUUA
Brassica rapa (field mustard) is the source of this 6196-nucleotide RNA transcript. It is a transcript of the gene named CBL-interacting serine/threonine-protein kinase 17, with no coding region annotated. The record is from RefSeq and is a predicted model, not a curated record. Lineage: Eukaryota; Viridiplantae; Streptophyta; Magnoliopsida; Brassicales; Brassicaceae.